This 495-nucleotide ribosomal RNA is filed under the name Alternaria sp. 30445. RNAcentral describes it as "eukaryotic LSU rRNA". The stretch from base 137 to 290 matches the Rfam family "5.8S ribosomal RNA". The record is from RNAcentral. Lineage: Eukaryota; Fungi; Ascomycota; Dothideomycetes; Pleosporales; Pleosporaceae.
CGGGGUUACAGCCUUGCUGAAUUAUUCACCCUUGUCUUUUGCGUACUUCUUGUUUCCUUGGUGGGUUCGCCCACCACUAGGACAAACAUAAACCUUUUGUAAUUGCAAUCAGCGUCAGUAACAAAUUAAUAAUUACAACUUUCAACAACGGAUCUCUUGGUUCUGGCAUCGAUGAAGAACGCAGCGAAAUGCGAUAAGUAGUGUGAAUUGCAGAAUUCAGUGAAUCAUCGAAUCUUUGAACGCACAUUGCGCCCUUUGGUAUUCCAAAGGGCAUGCCUGUUCGAGCGUCAUUUGUACCCUCAAGCUUUGCUUGGUGUUGGGCGUCUUGUCUCUAGCUUUGCUGGAGACUCGCCUUAAAGUAAUUGGCAGCCGGCCUACUGGUUUCGGAGCGCAGCACAAGUCGCACUCUCUAUCAGCAAAGGUCUAGCAUCCAUUAAGCCUUUUUUUUUCAACUUUUGACCUCGGAUCAGGUAGGGAUACCCGCUGAACUUAAGC